Molecule: long non-coding RNA, 4030 nt
Filed under: Homo sapiens (human)
Lineage: Eukaryota; Metazoa; Chordata; Mammalia; Primates; Hominidae
Description: long non-coding RNA NONHSAT015685.2
Source: RNAcentral
UAUUUUACUCUCUUUCAGGAGCGUUGUGGUGCCCUCUGGUCAAUAUUUGUUCUUUAGUUUCAACAUCUUUAAAAGCGUUAAAACCCUCCCUGUUAAAUAUUCUCCAGAAACGCAACCCUGGUCAGGACAGGAAAUAUUUUAGCAGCCUCGGUGGUCGCCUGCUUACUCCGUGGCACUUCCCUGAAACCACUUUGAAAAACACCUACCGAUUGUUUAUGAUGCAAUUUUAUUUCAAACCCAUGUUGGAAUUUUCAUUUAUUUUCAAAACAGCUAAGGUCGGUUGUUUUGUUGGCUGGGGAGUAGACAAAGGAGAGAAGAGUAAACAACAUUCUAUAACUUCAGUAGCCAAUUGAAUCAAAACAGUGUGACUAGUUUAGGUAUUUUCCUGUGUGAUGGCACAAUUUACUGACCCUGUUUUUCUCUUUCUGUUCGAAGUUAGAGUUCCACUCGUUUGAUCAAAGCAGCCAAUCAAAGGAUGAGAAUGACGGAAUGAGAAUUCAUGAUGUGGCAAAGAAGUAUCUCUUCUUGAGAUUCUUUCCAUACAAUAUCGAUUGUGUCUCCAUGGCCUAAAUUGGAAAGAUUCGAGAUCAAUUUGGGCCAUUUUGCUGCAGCCCGACCUGAAAUAAGAGGAGAUCGGGGAAGAGGAAGGUGGCUGCCAAACAGAAAUAAGGAGUUGAUUGGUUCUCAGACCAAUCCUUUAUCUAUAGGGCAUUAGGGCUAAUUCUGAGCAUCCUGAAAAGAUGACAUCUGUGGCUUCCUUCCCCCCUGCUUCUCCAUCUUUUUCCCACCUUCCCCUUCACUCUUGCACCCAUUUGAGUCCCAGCAGUGUCUGGGGAGCCAACGGUGAUGCAUUUAACUCCUAACCGCCGCAGAGCUAGGAAAGCCUGUUUCUGGACAACAAGCUGACUAGGAAAUCUUCUGAUUGGGCCAGUUUUAUAGAAGACUGUGUAAUCCCAAACAGCUCAAAUAAGUUCUGCUUCAGAUCGUCUCCUGCAGGACCCUAUGGGGUAUAUAUCUAUGCACCCUGGGUGGGAAAGGAUUUUAGGGCACCUCUCUAUCUCCUGCCCAAUACUUGGAUCCCCUCUUCGGCAUUCCAGAGGAGAGGUCUUCCAGUUUUUGCUCCAGGUUCUUUAGUGAUAGAGAGCUCCUAGCUUAGCCCAGUUGCCUUUGGACAGUUAUUCCUGCCAGAAACGUUCUCCUAAUACCCCCUGGCCUUGCAGCCAUUUCUCCUAGAACACAUUCUGGUGGCCCUUGCACACACUGUAGGUUGAAUAAUGAAGGGUAUUUCAGUUCAUUUCGAUGAUGGUUUUGAUGCAGCAACAAGUUUUCAUUUAUUUGUUGGGUGUUUAAAGGUUGUUUCAGAGUAAAAAUUUGAGGUGAAAAAAGAAAAAAGAAAGUUGGUGUAACCAUUCCUCUGCCCCUCCUCUUUUAAUGAUAAAUCAUGGACCUUAGUGCUCCAGAUACCAGCAGAGGAAAACAGUUUACUUUGGCAUUCUUUCUAGGAUUUCUUCAUGAUUACAAAUAAGUUAAUUCAGGUCAACUGAUGUUCUUAACUUCAGUACUUUGGAAAAAAUCCUCAUACAUUAACUUUUCAAAUAUGUGUAUAUGUAAAGUCAAAAGGAAAAAUGUUCAUAGUGAAUAUCUCUGUGAGAUAGGAUUAGGGACGCUGAAAGAUUUUUUCUUUGCGCCUUUUUGUAUUUUUAAAAUUUUCUAUGAUGAAAACGUGAAUCAGAAAAUAAAGCAAAUAUUUCCUUUACAAAUAUUUUUCUUGCUCCUUUUCCUGUAGGUAAAAUUAUGUUUUAAAUUACAUCUUAUAGAUCGUAUAUAAUGUACACAAAAUUUCAUUCAUUUCCUUGCCAUGCUUCAUGGAGAGACAGACCAUGUUUCUUUCAUUCAUCUUUGUACCUGUCCCCAUUCUCCCCACUUUUCCACUGGGUAUAUCAAGAGACUUGUUCAUAGUAGGUGCUUAAUCAAUAGAUAUAAUUUCUUUUACUGAAAUUAGUCACUCUAUGCAAACUCCAUAAAACAUUUAUUUUUAAAGACCUGUUCAGAGUUCACCCUUUCUAAUAUAUAAUUCCUCAGGAUUUAGUACUUGUAGCACAGGUGGCUACUUGGCCUUUCACCAGAAAAUUUGCAGUCCCCUUCCAUGUUGUAAAGUUGGGGACUACCAGUCUGCCAGCCCCUGCCUUCCCCGUCCCCACUUCCCGAAGCUCUGUAAGGCCACGAGCCUUCUGGCCAGCGGAAGGGGCUGUGUCACUCCCAGGCAGAGCUCAGAAAAGCUGCCCGUUCAAUUGUUCACAUCCUCUCUUUUCUUCUCUUAUCUGCCAGGGUCCCCACUGGUGACUGACUUUAUGUGAAUGAGAGAUGAGCUUCCACUGGAUGAAGCUACUGAGAUUUGAGAGGUUACCUGUAACAGAAGUUGCUGUUACCUUAACCUUCACAGCAUCAAACACAUCACUAACUCCUAAAAAAGACUGAAAAGGGUUUUACCAUAACUCACAGAACUAAUGCAAGACAUUUGUGUCCUUACCCUCAUGAAAAUUAAGCACUAGCAACCAGCUCCAUUUUAUACAAAGUAACAUUUAUACCCACAUCUGGACCGAGGCCAAGAAAAAUGAAAAACAAGGAAGUGGAGCAGCAUUUAUCUUCUGACUGCAUUUAAAAGAUGUCAAAAUAAUUGGUUGAAAAAUGGAAAGGUUAGUCAGUCCAUGUUUUCAGGUACAAAGAGAUAAAUUAAUUUUUUCAAUACGGUGUUCUCAGUGGUUGCAGUCAUCAGACCAUCACAUCAAUUUGGAUAAAAAUAAUAUGGUUUUCACCAACCAAAUUGUCUCUGAGAUACCUGGUUAUACCCCCAAUUAAGUGCAGGCACAGGGCUUUCAUGAGAGCAAAUGUGCAGAUGGAAGGGUCCUGUGCAGUUGGCUGCCAGAUGUGCCUGAAAUUCCUACCUACAGGGGGUCCUUUCCAUGAUGGGUAAUUAUAGGAACAGAUAAUCUGGCUAAGGUGGAACUGAAGAGUGGGUUCAGUAUAAUAAUGUGAAAUACACUUAAUUAGCCCAGGAUAUUGUUGAUUUCUGUGUUGGUGCUUCUACCUCGUAGGCAUAUGUUUUGGCUAUUGUAUAAGCAUAACUUCCUGUAGAAGUCAUUAACUGCAGCAAAAAAAUUUAACAAUGAUGGAAUUAGAAAUUACGCGUGCUCAUUUAUGUAGAGUACUACUGAAAACUUGUUUAAGCAGAAAGUUUAAGGAAGUUAAAUCAUUCUUUGUGGAUUUUUAAAAAGAUUGUCUGGAAUUUUUAUUUCACUCUUGUAUUAGUAUUUAACAUUUUAUGAUAUUUGUCUAGAUUUCAAAAUCUUCAAAGAAAGAGUCUUUGUAUAUCUCCCUCUAGCAUCAAGUACGAAGUCUAGUUCACCUCAUGUGCACAUUUUUUAAUUGAGCCAUAUUUAAACUGGUAGUUUUAGAGUAGGUUACUAUCACUUGCUGGCUAUGACCUUGGGCAAGCUAACUUAAUUUCUGUGUGCCUCAGUUUCUCACCUGUAAAAUGAUAAUGGUACCUACCUUAUAAGAUUGUAAAAAUUAAAUGAGAUAGGCCAGUCACGGUGGCUCACUCCUGUAAUCCCAGCACUUUGGGAGGCUGAGGUGGGAGGAUCACCUGAGGUCGGUAGUUCAAGACCAGCCUGACCAACAUGGAGAAACCCCGUCUCUACUAAAAAUACAAAAUUAGCUGGGCAUGGUGGCGCAUGCCUGUAAUCCCAGCUACUUGGGAGGCUGAGGCAGGAGAAUCACUUGAACCCGGGAGGUGGAGGUUGUGGUGAGCGGAGAUCAUGCCAUUGCACUCCAGCCUGGGCAACAAGAGUGAAACUUUGUCUCAAAAAAACGCCCCAAAAAUUAAAUAAGAUAAUAUAUGUAAGGAUCUUAGGAGGGUACCUGUCACAGAGUAUAUAUUUUGUAUGUUAUCUAUUCUUAUUAUCCUUUUAUUAUUACCAGGUGGUUUACAUUUCUUAAAAAAAUUCUAUGUAAAUGCAGUGGAGUUUUC